RNAcentral lists this unclassified non-coding RNA (654 nucleotides) under Homo sapiens (human). RNAcentral's name for it is "apurinic/apyrimidinic endodeoxyribonuclease 1 (ENSG00000291796.1)". The record is from RNAcentral. Lineage: Eukaryota; Metazoa; Chordata; Mammalia; Primates; Hominidae.
CAGCGUGCACCCUUCUUUGUGCUCGGGUUAGGAGGAGCUAGGCUGCCAUCGGGCCGGUGCAGAUACGGGGUUGCUCUUUUGCUCAUAAGAGGGGCUUCGCUGGCAGUCUGAACGGCAAGCUUGAAGCCAGAGGCCAAGAAGAGUAAGACGGCCGCAAAGAAAAAUGACAAAGAGGCAGCAGGAGAGGGCCCAGCCCUGUAUGAGGACCCCCCAGAUCAGAAAACCUCACCCAGUGGCAAACCUGCCACACUCAAGAUCUGCUCUUGGAAUGUGGAUGGGCUUCGAGCCUGGAUUAAGAAGAAAGGAUUAGAUUGGGUAAAGGAAGAAGCCCCAGAUAUACUGUGCCUUCAAGAGACCAAAUGUUCAGAGAACAAACUACCAGCUGAACUUCAGGAGCUGCCUGGACUCUCUCAUCAAUACUGGUCAGCUCCUUCGGACAAGGAAGGGUACAGUGGCGUGGGCCUGCUUUCCCGCCAGUGCCCACUCAAAGUUUCUUACGGCAUAGGCGAUGAGGAGCAUGAUCAGGAAGGCCGGGUGAUUGUGGCUGAAUUUGACUCGUUUGUGCUGGUAACAGCAUAUGUACCUAAUGCAGGCCGAGGUCUGGUACGACUGGAGUACCGGCAGCGCUGGGAUGAAGCCUUUCGCAAGUUCCUG